Suricata suricatta (meerkat) is the source of this 592-nucleotide long non-coding RNA. RefSeq lists it as uncharacterized. Lineage: Eukaryota; Metazoa; Chordata; Mammalia; Carnivora; Herpestidae. The record is from RefSeq and is a predicted model, not a curated record. The transcript has 3 exons.
UCUGGUCCCAAGUAGGGAGUGUGACCGCUGUUUCCUCUUGGUACAGUGUGCUCAGGAGAGGUCUGCCCCUGUCCAAGGAAGCCCCGAAAAGCAAAUCCUCGGGAAGAGCGUAAGAUGUAACCCAAGGGGACAUUUUUUCCAAUUUCACUGUCUGCUGGCAGUCCUCUCCAGGAACGCGCUGCACAAGUGUGCAUUGUAUAUUCAAGGGCAAUUAAGUUGCUAAUAGUCAGCUAUUUCCAAAGUCGUCGGCUGCAGAUGAUGAUAUAUUACAGAACAUCUGAUGCCAGAAAUGCGCAGUAUAGGAGAAAGGAGUCCAUGUUCAGAGAAGCUGGUAUUUAAAUGGGAGGCCGAGAUGUGGGACAAAAAUCCUUCCUCCUACAAGGCCUUUCCAGAAUCUUCCACGUACGGAGCAGCCACCCCGCCUCCCGCCCGGAGCCCAAGCCACACUGCAUUGCUGAGCCCUGCCUUCCCCAGGGCCAGCCCGAUGAUGGGCCGGGCUGCAGGGGGCCAGCUGCGUGGCCUGCAGCAGGAUGGUGAGCUGGGGAGCCGCUUUCCUUUGUCCUCCAAUAUGCAAAUAAGCAAAUCAAAUUAA